Molecule: ribosomal RNA, 1588 nt
Filed under: Salmonella enterica
Lineage: Bacteria; Pseudomonadati; Pseudomonadota; Gammaproteobacteria; Enterobacterales; Enterobacteriaceae
Also listed under: 1 other name
Description: partial 23S ribosomal RNA
Rfam family: Bacterial large subunit ribosomal RNA
Source: RNAcentral
GAAGGUGGCCUGUGAGGGUUGCUGGAGGUAUCAGAAGUGCGAAUGCUGACAUAAGUAACGAUAAAGCGGGUGAAAAGCCCGCUCGCCGGAAGACCAAGGGUUCCUGUCCAACGUUAAUCGGGGCAGGGUGAGUCGACCCCUAAGGCGAGGCCGAAAGGCGUAGUCGAUGGGAAACGGGUUAAUAUUCCCGUACUUGGUGUUACUGCGAAGGGGGGACGGAGAAGGCUAUGUUGGCCGGGCGACGGUUGUCCCGGUUUAAGCGUGUAGGUGUGUGUUCCAGGUAAAUCCGGUUCACUUUAACACUGAGGCGUGACGACGAGGCACUACGGUGCUGAAGCAACAAAUGCCCUGCUUCCAGGAAAAGCCUCUAAGCAUCAGGUAACAUCAAAUCGUACCCCAAACCGACACAGGUGGUCAGGUAGAGAAUACCAAGGCGCUUGAGAGAACUCGGGUGAAGGAACUAGGCAAAAUGGUGCCGUAACUUCGGGAGAAGGCACGCUGACAUGUAGGUGAAGUGAUUUACUCAUGGAGCUGAAGUCAGUCGAAGAUACCAGCUGGCUGCAACUGUUUAUUAAAAACACAGCACUGUGCAAACACGAAAGUGGACGUAUACGGUGUGACGCCUGCCCGGUGCCGGAAGGUUAAUUGAUGGGGUCAGCGCAAGCGAAGCUCCUGAUCGAAGCCCCGGUAAACGGCGGCCGUAACUAUAACGGUCCUAAGGUAGCGAAAUUCCUUGUCGGGUAAGUUCCGACCUGCACGAAUGGCGUAAUGAUGGCCAGGCUGUCUCCACCCGAGACUCAGUGAAAUUGAACUCGCUGUGAAGAUGCAGUGUACCCGCGGCAAGACGGAAAGACCCCGUGAACCUUUACUAUAGCUUGACACUGAACAUUGAGCCUUGAUGUGUAGGAUAGGUGGGAGGCUUUGAAGUGUGGACGCCAGUCUGCAUGGAGCCGACCUUGAAAUACCACCCUUUAAUGUUUGAUGUUCUAACGUGGACCCGUGAUCCGGGUUGCGGACAGUGUCUGGUGGGUAGUUUGACUGGGGCGGUCUCCUCCUAAAGAGUAACGGAGGAGCACGAAGGUUGGCUAAUCCUGGUCGGACAUCAGGAGGUUAGUGCAAUGGCAUAAGCCAGCUUGACUGCGAGCGUGACGGCGCGAGCAGGUGCGAAAGCAGGUCAUAGUGAUCCGGUGGUUCUGAAUGGAAGGGCCAUCGCUCAACGGAUAAAAGGUACUCCGGGGAUAACAGGCUGAUACCGCCCAAGAGUUCAUAUCGACGGCGGUGUUUGGCACCUCGAUGUCGGCUCAUCACAUCCUGGGGCUGAAGUAGGUCCCAAGGGUAUGGCUGUUCGCCAUUUAAAGUGGUACGCGAGCUGGGUUUAGAACGUCGUGAGACAGUUCGGUCCCUAUCUGCCGUGGGCGCUGGAGAACUGAGGGGGGCUGCUCCUAGUACGAGAGGACCGGAGUGGACGCAUCACUGGUGUUCGGGUUGUCAUGCCAAUGGCACUGCCCGGUAGCUAAAUGCGGAAGAGAUAAGUGCUGAAAGCAUCUAAGCACGAAACUUGCCCCGAGAUGAGUUCUCCCUGAGACUU